RNAcentral lists this ribosomal RNA (114 nucleotides) under Acanthosepion pharaonis. The record is from RNAcentral. Lineage: Eukaryota; Metazoa; Mollusca; Cephalopoda; Sepiida; Sepiidae.
UUACGGUCAAAUCACGCUGAAACACCGGUUCUCGUUCGAUCACCGAAGUUAAGCAUCAUAGAGCCAGGUCAGUACUUAGAUGGGGGACCGCUUGGGAACACCUGGUACUGUAAG